RNAcentral lists this ribosomal RNA (499 nucleotides) under uncultured bacterium. RNAcentral's name for it is "bacterial SSU rRNA". It matches the Rfam family "Bacterial small subunit ribosomal RNA", at positions 29 to 507 of the family's 1533-position model. The record is from RNAcentral.
AGUGAACGCUGGCGGCAGGCCUAACACAUGCAAGUCGAGCGGCAGCGCGUCCGACCACCCUCGGGUGGUCGGAUGGCGGCGAGCGGCGGACGGGUGAGGAAUGCAUCGGAAUCUGCCUCGUUGUGGGGGAUAACGUAGGGAAACUUACGCUAAUACCGCAUACGACCUACGGGUGAAAGUGGGGGACCUUCGGGCCUCGCACUAUUGGAUGAGCCUAUGUCAGAUUAGCUUGUUGGUGGGGUAACGGCCUACCAAGGCGACGAUCUGUAGCUGGUCUGAGAGGACGAUCAGCCACACUGGGACUGAGACACGGCCCAGACUCCUACGGGAGGCAGCAGUGGGGAAUAUUACACAAUGGGCGAAAGCCUGAUGCAGCAAUGCCGCGUGUGUGAAGAAGGCCUGCGGGUUGUAAAGCACCUUCAGUAGGGAGGAAACAGUAGCCGGUUAAUAUCCGGUUGCCUUGACGUUACCUACAGAAGAAGCACCGGCUAACUCUGUG